AUUGAACGCUGGCGGCAGGCCUAACACAUGCAAGUCGAGCGGAUGAGAGGAGCUUGCUCUUCGAUUCAGCGGCGGACGGGUGAGUAAUGCCUAGGAAUCUGCCUAGUAGUGGGGGACAACGUUUCGAAAGGAACGCUAAUACCGCAUACGUCCUACGGGAGAAAGUGGGGGAUCUUCGGACCUCACGCUAUUAGAUGAGCCUGGGUCGGAUUAGCUAGUUGGUAGGGUAAAGGCCUACCAAGGCGACGAUCCGUAACUGGUCUGAGAGGAUGAUCAGUCACACUGGAACCGAGACACGGUCCAGACUCCUACGGGAGGCAGCAGUGGGGAAUAUUGGACAAUGGGCGAAAGCCUGAUCCAGCCAUGCCGCGUGUGUGAAGAAGGCCUUCGGGUCGUAAAGCACUUUAAGUUGGGAGGAAGGGCUCAUAGCGAAUACCUGUGAGUUUUGACGUUACCAACAGAAUAAGCACCGGCUAACUUCGUGCCAGCAGCCGCCGUAA
RNAcentral lists this ribosomal RNA (500 nucleotides) under uncultured bacterium. RNAcentral's name for it is "partial 16S ribosomal RNA". It matches the Rfam family "Bacterial small subunit ribosomal RNA", at positions 30 to 523 of the family's 1533-position model. The record is from RNAcentral.